RNAcentral lists this ribosomal RNA (446 nucleotides) under uncultured bacterium. Its description in RNAcentral is "partial 16S ribosomal RNA". It matches the Rfam family "Bacterial small subunit ribosomal RNA", at positions 338 to 795 of the family's 1533-position model. The record is from RNAcentral.
CCUACGGGUGGCUGCAGUCGAGAAUCAUUCACAAUGGGGGAAACCCUGAUGGUGCGACGCCGCGUGGGGGAAUGAAGGUCUUCGGAUUGUAAACCCCUGUCAUGUGGGAGCAAAUUAAAAAGAUAGUACCACAAGAGGAAGAGACGGCUAACUCUGUGCCAGCAGCCGCGGUAAUACAGAGGUCUCAAGCGUUGUUCGGAAUCACUGGGCGUAAAGCGUGCGUAGGCUGUUUCGUAAGUCGUGUGUGAAAGUCGCGGGCUCAACCCGCGGACGGCACAUGAUAAUGCGAGACUAGAGUAAGGGAGGGGGAACCGGAAUUCUCGGUGUAGCAGUGAAAUGCGUAGAUAUCGAGAGGAACACUCGUGGCGAAGGCGGGUUCCUGGACAUUAACUGACGCUGAGGCACGAAGGCCAGGGGAGCGAAAGGGAUUAGAUACCCGGGUAGUC